GGGUUGUGAGGUUAAGCGACUAAGCGUACACGGUGGAUGCCCUGGCAGUCAGAGGCGAUGAAGGACGUGCUAAUCUGCGAUAAGCGUCGGUAAGGUGAUAUGAACCGUUAUAACCGGCGAUUUCCGAAUGGGGAAACCCAGUGUGUUUCGACACACUAUCAUUAACUGAAUCCAUAGGUUAAUGAGGCGAACCGGGGGAACUGAAACAUCUAAGUACCCCGAGGAAAAGAAAUCAACCGAGAUUCCCCCAGUAGCGGCGAGCGAACGGGGAGGAGCCCAGAGUCUGAAUCAGUGUGUGUGUUAGUGGAAGCGUCUGGAAAGGCGCGCGAUACAGGGUGACAGCCCCGUACACAAAAAUGCACAUACUGUGAGCUCGAUGAGUAGGGCGGGACACGUGGUAUCCUGUCUGAAUAUGGGGGGACCAUCCUCCAAGGCUAAAUACUCCUGACUGACCGAUAGUGAACCAGUACCGUGAGGGAAAGGCGAAAAGAACCCCGGCGAGGGGAGUGAAAAAGAACCUGAAACCGUGUACGUACAAGCAGUGGGAGCCUCUUUUAUGGGGUGACUGCGUACCUUUUGUAUAAUGGGUCAGCGACUUAUAUUCUGUAGCAAGGUUAACCGAAUAGGGGAGCCGAAGGGAAACCGAGUCUUAACUGGGCGUUAAGUUGCAGGGUAUAGACCCGAAACCCGGUGAUCUAGCCAUGGGCAGGUUGAAGGUUGGGUAACACUAACUGGAGGACCGAACCGACUAAUGUUGAAAAAUUAGCGGAUGACUUGUGGCUGGGGGUGAAAGGCCAAUCAAACCGGGAGAUAGCUGGUUCUCCCCGAAAGCUAUUUAGGUAGCGCCUCGUGAAUUCAUCUCCGGGGGUAGAGCACUGUUUCGGCAAGGGGGUCAUCCCGACUUACCAACCCGAUGCAAACUGCGAAUACCGGAGAAUGUUAUCACGGGAGACACACGGCGGGUGCUAACGUCCGUCGUGAAGAGGGAAACAACCCAGACCGCCAGCUAAGGUCCCAAAGUCAUGGUUAAGUGGGAAACGAUGUGGGAAGGCCCAGACAGCCAGGAUGUUGGCUUAGAAGCAGCCAUCAUUUAAAGAAAGCGUAAUAGCUCACUGGUCGAGUCGGCCUGCGCGGAAGAUGUAACGGGGCUAAACCAUGCACCGAAGCUGCGGCAGCGACGCUUAUGCGUUGUUGGGUAGGGGAGCGUUCUGUAAGCCUGUGAAGGUGUGCUGUGAGGCAUGCUGGAGGUAUCAGAAGUGCGAAUGCUGACAUAAGUAACGAUAAAGCGGGUGAAAAGCCCGCUCGCCGGAAGACCAAGGGUUCCUGUCCAACGUUAAUCGGGGCAGGGUGAGUCGACCCCUAAGGCGAGGCCGAAAGGCGUAGUCGAUGGGAAACAGGUUAAUAUUCCUGUACUUGGUGUUACUGCGAAGGGGGGACGGAGAAGGCUAUGUUGGCCGGGCGACGGUUGUCCCGGUUUAAGCGUGUAGGCUGGUUUUCCAGGCAAAUCCGGAAAAUCAAGGCUGAGGCGUGAUGACGAGGCACUACGGUGCUGAAGCAACAAAUGCCCUGCUUCCAGGAAAAGCCUCUAAGCAUCAGGUAACAUCAAAUCGUACCCCAAACCGACACAGGUGGUCAGGUAGAGAAUACCAAGGCGCUUGAGAGAACUCGGGUGAAGGAACUAGGCAAAAUGGUGCCGUAACUUCGGGAGAAGGCACGCUGAUAUGUAGGUGAAGUCCCUUGCGGAUGGAGCUGAAAUCAGUCGAAGAUACCAGCUGGCUGCAACUGUUUAUUAAAAACACAGCACUGUGCAAACACGAAAGUGGACGUAUACGGUGUGACGCCUGCCCGGUGCCGGAAGGUUAAUUGAUGGGGUCAGCGCAAGCGAAGCUCUUGAUCGAAGCCCCGGUAAACGGCGGCCGUAACUAUAACGGUCCUAAGGUAGCGAAAUUCCUUGUCGGGUAAGUUCCGACCUGCACGAAUGGCGUAAUGAUGGCCAGGCUGUCUCCACCCGAGACUCAGUGAAAUUGAACUCGCUGUGAAGAUGCAGUGUACCCGCGGCAAGACGGAAAGACCCCGUGAACCUUUACUAUAGCUUGACACUGAACAUUGAGCCUUGAUGUGUAGGAUAGGUGGGAGGCUUAGAAGUGUGGACGCCAGUCUGCAUGGAGCCGACCUUGAAAUACCACCCUUUAAUGUUUGAUGUUCUAACGUUGACCCGUAAUCCGGGUUGCGGACAGUGUCUGGUGGGUAGUUUGACUGGGGCGGUCUCCUCCUAAAGAGUAACGGAGGAGCACGAAGGUUGGCUAAUCCUGGUCGGACAUCAGGAGGUUAGUGCAAUGGCAUAAGCCAGCUUGACUGCGAGCGUGACGGCGCGAGCAGGUGCGAAAGCAGGUCAUAGUGAUCCGGUGGUUCUGAAUGGAAGGGCCAUCGCUCAACGGAUAAAAGGUACUCCGGGGAUAACAGGCUGAUACCGCCCAAGAGUUCAUAUCGACGGCGGUGUUUGGCACCUCGAUGUCGGCUCAUCACAUCCUGGGGCUGAAGUAGGUCCCAAGGGUAUGGCUGUUCGCCAUUUAAAGUGGUACGCGAGCUGGGUUUAGAACGUCGUGAGACAGUUCGGUCCCUAUCUGCCGUGGGCGCUGGAGAACUGAGGGGGGCUGCUCCUAGUACGAGAGGACCGGAGUGGACGCAUCACUGGUGUUCGGGUUGUCAUGCCAAUGGCACUGCCCGGUAGCUAAAUGCGGAAGAGAUAAGUGCUGAAAGCAUCUAAGCACGAAACUUGCCCCGAGAUGAGUUCUCCCUGACCCUUUAAGGGUCCUGAAGGAACGUUGAAGACGACGACGUUGAUAGGCCGGGUGUGUAAGCGCAGCGAUGCGUUGAGCUAACCGGUACUAAUGAACCGUGAGGCUUAACCUUACAACGCCGAAGCUGUU
Molecule: ribosomal RNA, 2930 nt
Filed under: Escherichia coli
Lineage: Bacteria; Pseudomonadati; Pseudomonadota; Gammaproteobacteria; Enterobacterales; Enterobacteriaceae
Description: 23S ribosomal RNA
Rfam family: Bacterial large subunit ribosomal RNA
Source: RNAcentral